RNAcentral lists this ribosomal RNA (472 nucleotides) under uncultured bacterium. RNAcentral's name for it is "partial 16S ribosomal RNA". It matches the Rfam family "Bacterial small subunit ribosomal RNA", at positions 28 to 507 of the family's 1533-position model. The record is from RNAcentral.
GAUGAACGCUGGCGGCGUGCCUAAUACAUGCAAGUCGAGCGAACAGACGAGGCGUUUGCUCCUUUGACGUUGGAGGGGGAGGGGUGAGUAACACGUCGUUAACCUACCUAUAAGACUGGGAUAACUUCGGGAGACCGGAGCUAAUACCGGAAAAUAUUUCGAACAGCAUGCUUCGAUAGUGAAAGAUGGCUUUUGUAUCGCUGAUGGAUCGGCACGCGCUGUAUUAGUUAGUUGGUGGGGUAAUGGAUUACCAAGGCGACGAUACGUAGCCGGCCUGAGAGGAUGAGCGGCCAAACUGGGACGGAGACACGGCCCAGACUCCUACGGGAGGCAGCAGUGGGGAAUAUUAGAAAAUGGGGGAAACCCUGAUCUAGCCAUGCCGCGUGAGCGAUGAAGGCCUUAGGGUUGUAAAGCUCUUUCAGCUGGGAAGAUAAUGACGGUACCAGCAGAAGAAGCCCCGGCUAACUCCGUG